This is a long non-coding RNA of Dermochelys coriacea (leatherback sea turtle), 728 nucleotides long. RefSeq lists it as uncharacterized. The transcript has 3 exons. Lineage: Eukaryota; Metazoa; Chordata; Testudines; Dermochelyidae. The record is from RefSeq and is a predicted model, not a curated record.
UCACUGCUUGUGAUAGCUGACCGUGAUGAGGGAGUAUGAUAGCAGGUACUCAGAAUGGACAGAGGUAUACACACUAGCCUCUUCCAGGUACAUAUUAUACUCUGAGCAUAAUCCCACUUUAUCACAAUUAUUGCUUUGCAUAGGGCCUGAUCCUUCAACUGCUUUCAGCUCGCCACUGACGCAAGCAGGAAUUCAGGAUGCCUAGCAGCCUCCAGAUUGUCUCUGGGCUGGUGUGGCAAAGUCCUACUGGAACUAGUCUACAGGGAAAGCAAAGCAAGCAGCCGGGGGAGGGGGGGAAGAGAUAAUAGGGUGAUUCUUAUAGGGGACUUGUUGUGUGCAAGGUGGGGAGGAGUACAACAGGUGAGAGACAUGUGCUGUCUAAGAAUAAAGUGACCAGCAAGAGAUUUUAAGGUGCCUUUCAGGUCUACACAUACUUUAGUCUCUGCAAGGCAGCAGAUAUGGAUUAAUAUUUUGAGUAGUUUAUCAGCCCCCCCCCUUCUGCAGUUCAUUGUGGAGGAAGGGAAGGAAUUACUAGGACUUGCAGGGAGCAUGGAAGGGGCCACAAAAGAGAGGCAGACAUGGGUCUCAUGUCAGUUGCCCUUGUGAAGCCACCUCUGUUCUGCAGCUGCUGAAGAGACCAGACUGUAGCAAGAGCUGAAUGAAUGAACUGGUAGUCUUACAGUGCUCUCUGGUCUGUAACAAUUAAAGGAAGAAAUUGUUUGAUGUUA